Molecule: ribosomal RNA, 937 nt
Filed under: Cubamyces flavidus
Lineage: Eukaryota; Fungi; Basidiomycota; Agaricomycetes; Polyporales; Polyporaceae
Description: Trametes flavida partial 28S ribosomal RNA
Rfam family: Eukaryotic large subunit ribosomal RNA
Source: RNAcentral
CAUAUCAAUAAGCGGAGGAAAAGAAACUAACAAGGAUUCCCCUAGUAACUGCGAGUGAAGCGGGAAAAGCUCAAAUUUAAAAUCUGGCGGUCUUUGGCCGUCCGAGUUGUAGUCUGGAGAAGCGUCUUCCGCGCUGGACCGUGUAUAAGUCUCUUGGAACAGAGCGUCAUAGAGGGUGAGAAUCCCGUCUUUGACACGGACUACCAGUGCUUUGUGAUGCGCUCUCAAAGAGUCGAGUUGUUUGGGAAUGCAGCUCAAAAUGGGUGGUGAAUUCCAUCUAAAGCUAAAUAUUGGCGAGAGACCGAUAGCGAACAAGUACCGUGAGGGAAAGAUGAAAAGCACUUUGGAAAGAGAGUUAAACAGUACGUGAAAUUGCUGAAAGGGAAACGCUUGAAGUCAGUCGCGUUGUCCGGGACUCAGCCUUGCUUCGGCUUGGUGCACUUUCCGGAUGACGGGCCAGCAUCGAUUUUGACCGCUGGAAAAGGGCUGGAGGAAUGUGGCACCUUCGGGUGUGUUAUAGCCUCCAGUCGCAUACGGCGGUUGGGAUCGAGGAACGCAGCACGCCUCGUGGCGGGGGGUUUACCCUACCUUCGUGCUUAGGAUGCUGGCAUAAUGGCUUUAAACGACCCGUCUUGAAACACGGACCAAGGAGUCUAACAUGCCUGCGAGUGUUUGGGUGGAAAACCCGAGCGCGUAAUGAAAGUGAAAGUUGAGACCUCUGUCGUGGAGGGCAUCGACGCCCGGACCUGACGUUCUCUGACGGAUCCGCGGUAGAGCAUGUAUGUUGGGACCCGAAAGAUGGUGAACUAUGCCUGAAUAGGGUGAAGCCAGAGGAAACUCUGGUGGAGGCUCGUAGCGAUUCUGACGUGCAAAUCGAUCGUCAAAUUUGGGUAUAGGGGCGAAAGACUAAUCGAACCAUCUAGUAGCUGGUUCCUGC